GAUGAACGCUGGCGGCGUGCCUAAUACAUGCAAGUCGAGCGAACAGAUGAGGAGCUUGCUCCUCUGACGUUAGCGGCGGACGGGUGAGUAACACGUGGAUCACCUACCUAUAAGACUGGGAUAACUUCGGGAAACCGGAGCUACUACCGGAUAAUAUAUUGAACCGCAUGGUUCAAUAGUGAAAGACGGCUUUGCUGUCUCUUAUAGAUGGAUCCGCGCCGCAUUAGCUAGUUGGUAAGGUAACGGCUUACCAAGGCAACGAUGCGUAGCCGACCUGAGAGGGUGAUCGGCCACACUGGAACUGAGACACGGUCCAGACUCCUACGGGAGGCAGCAGUAGGGAAUCUUCCGCAAUGGGCGAAAGCCUGACGGAGCAACGCCGCGUGAGUGAUGAAGGUCUUCGGAUCGUAAAACUCUGUUAUUAGGGAAGAACAAAUGUGUAAGUAACUAUGCACGUCUUGACGGUACCUAAUCAGAAAGCCACGGCUAACUACGUG
This 497-nucleotide ribosomal RNA is filed under the name uncultured bacterium. Its description in RNAcentral is "partial 16S ribosomal RNA". It matches the Rfam family "Bacterial small subunit ribosomal RNA", at positions 28 to 507 of the family's 1533-position model. The record is from RNAcentral.